RNAcentral lists this long non-coding RNA (17119 nucleotides) under Zea mays. Its description in RNAcentral is "long non-coding RNA (ZMAY_LNC001721)". The stretch from base 15147 to 15246 matches the Rfam family "Small nucleolar RNA R11/Z151". The record is from RNAcentral. Lineage: Eukaryota; Viridiplantae; Streptophyta; Magnoliopsida; Poales; Poaceae.
GCCGGGGUAGCCAAGCAUGCUACGAGAGUUUGGGAGAGGAACAGUGGGCUGCAGCCGCCAUGGACCCUUAUCGAUGGUGUUCGCUUGUGCGUGAGGAAGCUGUCGCUCGUGUCACCGAGGGAAAUACCGCCUCAUUCUCGAUGAACUAUUCGUCGGAGUUCUCAGACCACCGCCAAACUGCCUCUCGCCAUGAUGUGGUCUCCACGACGUGAUCUCCGGUAAGUAUAGGGAACCUUUGUUUUGAUUCGCUAUCCGCUUUGCGUAGAACUUGCUAUAGAAAGGUAGCAUGCACUGGUACUCAGUUGUCGGAGCGCCUGCAGUCACGCCACCGCAUCCUGCUCACUCGCCGUCACGCGGGCGCUGCCGGAGGUAGAAGACUGAGGUAGGAGAAAGAAGACUAGUCGUUAGAUCUCCAAAUAGACGCACUGGAUUAGGUCAAAAAUAACGUUUCGCCCGGGUUAAUCCUAGCCAUCGAUCUUUGUGUUGGUGACCUAGAUCAAAAUGAAGAACACCCCUUCACCGGUUGUAUUAGAAUCGUUGGAUCACGGGUAAGCGACCGGGAUCGGAUCUGGUCAUCGUGAAUUUUGGACCGUGGAUCCUAGAUCUGGCGGCCUCAGUUUAGUACCGGUUCGGUUAGGGAUAGAUCUAAUCCACACCGUAGGUUGAGGAUCCCAUGGCCAGGGUGUGUUCAUACCCCUUCGGCUCACAAAUUUGCUAAAGAGCCCCGAGCAAAACAAUAAAACAGCCCACAGUCCACGCGUAGUAGUAAAGUAUUUUACUUAGGUCCCGAAUUAUUGUGAAUUAGACCCUGAACUUUUCCAAGAAAUCCUAGCCGCAGCUCAACAAUUCGGUUAGGUAUAUAAAAUAAAUCUGGUAAUCGGUUUUAAUAUAAAAUAAACCUAAAAACUUGUUUAUUGCAUAACUUACUCACUUUUACUCUGAAUUACUCCACUCAAGUUGUGUUAGCUUCGUAUAAAUAUUUACUACACAGUGACAACAUUAAUUAUACCAUAUCGCCUACUUUUAUAGUUAGAUAUUUAUUAACCUAUGUCUACUAGAUUAACUCUUCUAAUCAAAGCUAAAAUGUCCAUAAUUAUAAUUUGGUUAAAAUAUGAUCACUAGACAAGUUAUAAUUAAGAUUAAAGUUGAAUUAAUUAUUUUUUCAGAUUAUCUUUAUAAAAUCAACACAAGACUUAGUUUUAAUUACUUAAUCACGUGGGUCUUCCGAAAAUUAUACCUCUUUAACCAUAACUCUGAUUUUAGUAGUUCUCAAACCCACGAUCUCGUAGCAACAAUUAGAGUAUUAUUAUACAGUUUGUUCUUAUGUUUGGUGUGAUGUUAAUUUUGCCUAUAUCAUGUUUGUUUGAAUUGCUACGAAUAGCGGUGAUGUCACGAGAAUCUGAAGAUCAUCUUGGUACCUGGGAAUCUCAAGUCUAAGGCAAGUUGCUCACUUGAUUACUUUUAUUUACCCAAUAAUGUUCUCUAUAAUCAUUUUGGCAUGCAUAGGCUUAAUUUUGAUGGGACCCAAUAGGUCACCCUAGUUUGGUCAUCUUUACACCUUGUUCACCCUUGAACUUUUGGGUAGUCUUUGCUAUUGCUAUAUAUGGUUUUGGGAUCAAUAUUACAUUAUGAUCAUGUUCCAAUUAUACUGUGGUUUUAAUUAUUGUUCAUGACAAGGUUAUUAUGUUGAUUGGAACAUCGAGCUUAACUUGAGAAACACGUGCCACCACAAGGGUGGAAUGGGACGCCCUUGGCUGACUAAUUAGGAAAGCUAGUGGAGGACUAUCUUACCCGAAAGGGGCAAGGGCAGUAGGGGAGUAGGCGUGUAGGGAGGUUCUCGGGUUGACUUUGCUGCGAUGGCGGUCAGACGGGGGAUUCCUGCAUUGCUCUUACUAGAAACUGUAGCGGGUUUUCUGAAGCUAGUGAAACUUUGUAAAGGCCUCGUAGUGUUACCCUGCCUCGUCUCCUCGGUAGAGGUGAAUGGGACUUCUAGACCCCUUGCUAACCGAGUGACAUGACUUGUGGGUAAAGGGUACCACCUCUACAGAGUGUAAAACUGGUAUACUAGCCGUGCUCGCGAGCAGCUCAGGACUCUCGCAUGAUUAGUUUAUGGAAUUAAAUUCAAUUUGUCAUUUGCAUCGCAUUGUUAUUUAUUAUUAUUUUUGAUAUAUUAUUACUCUGGUUUGGUAUCUACUUAUACUUAGUAACUACUAAUAAAAUUUUGACCAACAUUAAAAGCGAUGCUCCACUUUAACCAUCCUCUUUGGUAAGCCUUACACUUAACCUGAGCUCCCACAUUUGGCGAGUUCAUACACAUUAUUCCCCACAACUUGUUGAGCGAUGAACGUAUGUGAGCUCACCCUUGUUGUCUCACACCCCCCACAGGUCAAGAACAGGUACCGCAGGAUGAGGCACAUAGAGGAUGUUGUGAUGAGUUCGUGAGAGGUUUAGGUCGUCGUCUACCAGCCAACUUUGGGUUGCUAGAUCGUUGUCUCCAUAUGAUGUAAUUAUUUAUUUUACACAGAACUCCUAUUAUAUAGUAAAGAUGUGACAUUCGUUUAUGUAGCAUAAGUCAUCAUAUGUGUGAGACUUGGUCCCACCACACUUGAUGAUUAUGUUCGCGGCCGGGUCUUGGUGCCCCCGAAACCUGGGUGUGACAACGUUUCCUAUAGCCUGGUAAUCUCUAUGUCCUUAGAGGCUCGAGAACAAGACAAUUGUGAGGAUGAUCAUACAAUCCGUCGUCCUAGACGUCUCAACUCCCUAGAGUAGAGUCAAAUGUACCCAACCUACAUUUGUGAACCAUAGCCUCGAACAAUCACAAAAAUAUGGGCAGCAACAUCAGAAACUGUCCAGAUUUUAAAGAUUAUAUUGUUUGACAAAAUUAAACCUAGAAUCAGUUCUCAGUAAUUAUAAGAAAGUUGUAGUAUAUUUUAUAGGCUUUCCAGAAAGUUAUGGAUUACUAUUUUUUGUGGUCUAAAUCUUCAGUAAUAGUUGUUUGAAGAAGGAGGACUGAAUCUAUGCAAAUCUGGACAGAUGCACCUUCCUUGUAUUGUUUGCCUUUGUUAAGUAUUGAACCAGCCCAAGAUGUUUAUAAAUAUUUUGUAGGCAAUUUUAUUAGCUUUCCAAAAAGUUUUGAAUCACAUGUCUUGGAUGUUUAAAUCUCUAGUUAUGGUCAAAACAAGCACGUGUUGUGUUGCUGUCCAGAAUCUGGAAAUGCGUAGUUAAUCACUUGAACUUGCUUUUGUUUGGCUAAGUAGGUUUAGCGAGUUCUUAAUUGGCAAACACUUGUAGUUGUUAUACUUAAGUUAGCAUGUGUCCUUAAUUGAUAUGGUUGCCAUUUCCUGCGUUAUGUGUGUAUGCGAAUUAAGUAUAAGUCGUGUACCCAUGCCUUAGGUGGUGUUAGAUUCAUGUGCCGAUGGUGUAUGCAUAGCUAGGCCACUUACUUUGUCGAUUCUGGUCCUUAAUGUUGAAGAGGGAGAAAUUAGAGGCCAAAGCAACUGGAUCAAUGACCACUUGAGUUUUAAAAAUAUUUUGAGCUUUAAAACAUGUAUUUUGAUUCAAACCCCUCUUGAUAUCAAAGAGGAGACCUCUUAUUGUGAAAACUGAAAUUAUACUUGUGAGAAAAGGGGAAAUUAGUGUUUGAUCAAAACAAGUUCCUUCAAACAGGUUUAAUUUGCAAAACUCAAGUGUUUUUCACUUAGUAGUAAGAAAAGGUUGAAAAUGGCUUUGUUUGCAAAAUCAAAAGCAAGUGGUGGCUAAAUGUUCCAAAUAUGCCAAAUCAUUUGAGAACUUCAUUUAGUCGAGUUCGAACUUCAAUUUGCAACUUUUGUCUCAUACUGCUUUUAAUUAGUCAUAUUCUAGUAGCUUUAGUUGUGUUGGCAUACAUUACCAAAAAAGAGGGAGAUUGAAAGGGAAAUGGGCUAGAUAGCUAUUUCUACAUGUUUUGGUGAUUUAAUGUCCAACACACUAUCAUGGACUAACUUAUGUGAUAAGUGUAUGAUAUCAAUUUCAUUGUUAUGCAAUUUGAAGGUUUCAAGUCUAAAAGAGUUUUAAAAAGGGUGACUAGAAAUGCAGCUUUGAGUAAAAUGGUAAAUCUGUGAGGCUUGCACCCUUAGACAUGUUGCAUAGGCCUAUUACAAUGUUUCUAGCACUUGCAUUUGAUCUCUUACUUUUUUCGCAAAAAGUGCCUUUUGGACUUUGUUUGGGUGGUUUGUGUCAAAAUAGGAACUCUAAUGAAAAUAUGUGAAAGAGGUAGGUUUCAUACACUUAAUCAAUUGGAUUAUGUACUAACUAUGCUUUUCUAAGUCAUAGGAAAGCUCACAAGAAAGGCCAAAUCAAAUGAAAGGAGUUAGGCUCAAAAGCACCUAAUUUGGGCUGCUCCGGGCAUCACCAAACUGGUCUGGUGAUGCACUGGACCGAGUCUAUGAAGUGCCCAGACUUGGGCUUUUGGCGGCCUGACGCACAGGACCGGGUUCGCGUGCGCCGGACCGCGUCUAUGGCUAAACAAUCGACUCUCAUGAUUUUUAUUUAUAAAAUCUCUGGAGCGGUACUAUGCGUGGUCCGGUGGUGCACCAGAUCGCAUGGUAACGACUAGCUCCAGGCGUCCAAUAGCUACUUCAUGGGGAGGCAACAUGUGGUGGUCUGGUGGUACACGGACCUGGUCCGGUGCCCCCCACCCCAAUUUGGAAGGAUACAGUCAGGAUCCUAGAGGCCACUCCCUGUUCCCGGUCCGGUGGCACACCUGACCAAUCCGGUGCCCUCGAGAACAACAAAUUUUUGCAUGGAAGGAGCAAUGGCUAUGGAGGCUCUUUGGCUAAAAGGACCCCCUAGGCGACCUCCUUCACUCACCCAAGCACCCCCAAGAGCAAUACUUCACUCCCAUACUUUGCAACAACGUGUUUGUGACAUUCUAGUGAGAUCUAGGCAUCGUUCUGAGUUGUUUGUCUUUCUAUGAGAGCGGUGUGUGGCAAUGUUCGUUCUUGUGUUGUAUUGUUGCGUGUUUUCUCUUGUGUGUGUACUUUAUCCCCUCUCUUUUGUUGUGCUUCGAGUUGUAACUCAGAUUGUUGUGUACGACUGCAAGAGGCUCCAAUUUAUAGAGAUUCCUUGCGAGGGGAUUACUAUUGAUAUAAGGAAGACCAUGACACUCAAGUAGAUCAUUGGAUCACUUGAGAGGGGUUGAGUGCAACUCUUGUCCAUUAGGACACCACAACAUGGAGAAGGCAAGCAUUUGAGUCUUGACCGAACAACAGGAAAAAUCACUAUGUCACUUGUGCUUAAUUUUUUGUGAUUGUUCUUCCUCUCUGUAUGUUCUAUCUUUCAGUUGCAAUAUUGCUCUUAGUUUAUUACAUAUCUUGAAAGAGGAAUCAAGUGAAGAGAACUUCUCUCUUUUUCUCAUUACAACUUGGUCCUAUUUUGCACUAACUCUUAAUUUGGACCAACUCCGUGUUUGAUGUUGUGUUUUGCAGGCAUCACCUAUUCACUCCUCUCUAGGUGACUCCUAGUAAUGAACUAGGUGAGUGCCCGUGCGUUGCUACGGUUUUUAUAUAUAUCAUAUAGAUAGACCUCGUUUAAAUGACACACUUAUUCAAACACAAUUAUAUUUUUUAUUUUAAUUUUUUAAUAUUUUUUACAAUUUCAAUUCUUUAAUAACCAAACUGAAUCUGCAGUACAGUGGCCGAGCAGUAUAUAUUUGGCGAGGUGACACCAAAACAACAAGCAAGUAGAUGCAUCCCAAAUGGUAAAACAAUAAAAUACAAAUGGUAAUUUAAAAGUUCAGCCACACAAUAUUAUGUACAUAACAGUAGUGAAAGUUAGGCACACCUAAAUAUGUAGUACAACUGAACAUUGUGACGCUCCAACGACAUGUAAAUACAUUUAGCAAUUCAACAUAAUAGUGGAGAGUGAACACUGUUUCAAUAAUAAUCAACCUAGUCACCGAUUUAAGAGUGCACAUAUAACUUAAAACAGUGGAUAAACAUAUAUGGUGCAUGAAGAUAUUAUCUUAAAAUACUCCUUUUGGUUCAAUUGAAUCUGUUUUUUGCUUCAUGAGUUCCAUCAACUGAAGGACCCUUUCAGGUUUACCACCCUUAUUAAAUGCUUCCAUCAGGGAUGAAUAGACAAUAUAGCAUCUGGUUGUGUGCCAUUACAUUCCAUCUCUGAAUAGGUCACAUGGUCUCGUCCAGCUCCCUUAUGAGUUAUGAUCAUAUGGAACACGAGAUUAAAUAAUAAUUUAAAACUACUGAAAUAUUUUAUCAUCCAAAGAUUCUUACCAUCAUCAUUAUAGGCUUUAAUCAAUGUCGUAAAUGUCAACACAUCAGUGAAGCAACCAGAUUCACUCAGAAUUAAAAGUAGAUGCUGCUUCAAUUAGUUUGCACUGAAUUAAAGCCAUUGUUAGAAUACUAAUUCUUUACAGUGAGCCAGAGAGAUAAUCCAACAACAUUUGCCUGUUUGACAUAUGAGAAAUCACGAACCAGUAGACUUCCUUGGUCAAAUGAAUUUUUAGGUCCAUCAUGUCUUCAAAAAAUUGCAGACACUCUACAUUCCUUCCCCAUUUACAAGAUCCACUAAAGAGUAUAUUGUAAGUCACAAUAUCUAGUUUCACAUUGUCUGCCCUCAUUUCACAUUGUCUGCCCUCAUUGGGACAUACCUUUCCCCAUAUAUAAAAAUGACAAUCAUUGGGACAUACCAAAAUUUUUAUCAGAAGGUAAACAAAAUAUUAAAAUAACAAUAACUAACAUGGUAUCUCUACGUACCUCUACUGAUCGAGGUCGAGUUUUUUUGUAUGAAAUAGUUGUAUGGGUUUGUUCUUUUUUCUAUAAUGAUACACAACUGUCUUUUCGAUUCUAGGUACGUCUAUCCAGUCAUAGAAAAGCUCACCGAACAGAUAUUGAAAUAUAUGGAGAUUGCUAACAUAAUCGAUAAAUAAAACAAGUAUAAAAAUAAAAGAUUUAUAUGCAUCAUAUCAGCAAUCACAUGUUACGGGUAAAAGAGAGUAAUUCUAUGCAAAUAAAAUCCAUGGAUGCUGCUACAAAGGGGGGAACAAAAUAUCUACAUAGUAACUUCAUCCUCAUUUGAUCUGCUCUAUUUCAGUGCAUCUUGGGAACACAAUCGGCACCAUAGAUGAUUGAAUUAGUGAUAACCAGAGAGGGGGCAGGCUGGAGCAUGGUGUACCGUGAGCUAACAGGGAAGUUGUUGAUGGCACCAUGUUGGCAUGUUCAUUUUAGAAACAUGAUUUUUUCCAGAUUUUAACAUUAGCCAGGAAAACUACUUAGUAAAUAACAGGAAAAUGGGAACAACCAAGAAUGGAGAUGGUGCUUUAAUUACCGAAAAAACCGAAUAAUGAGGCGGUGCUCUUCCUUCAUAGCUUCACGAUAGGCUAAGUCCAAUUUUUUGUUUCUAUUUGUGGUUCUAGCCCAAACAGAAAAACCUGGUAUUUGCGUACUCUGGAAAAAAAAGUCAGGCUUAUUGUAUAACUCAGGACCAACUCCUGUAGUAGGCUUGUCAUCCUCCGAUUGCAUCUUAAGCUUAGUUGUAAGGAAGUCAAGCAGACCAUUGCAGUUGCAAAUAACUGCAUUACCCCUUCCCUCAUGUGCCCUUUCUCGAUCAAGAUAGAACUUCUACCAUUAAGGCCAAAGCUAGUGAAGGAUCCCCCAUAAUUAUUGGCAUGUGGGAACAUUCCACCAUGAGAGAAACCCUUUCCAUAGAAGUUGGUUGUGGAUCCCAAACCAUAGAACGACUUUUGGUGAAGCAAUGGUUGAAAUUGGGGGAGAAACAGAUAAAUAUCAGAAGAAAGAUCUACAGGUAAAUAAAUUCAGUUAUUUAUGAAACUGUAUAUUCCUAUCUUUUAUUUCUUUAGAAGAAAAACAAGGGAACAUAGUAGCAACACAAAGCCUAUUAUAGCCUUGAUGCAAUGCUGAACUAAAUCGAUGCUCUAAAAAACCAAUGCAGUUGAACUGAUGAUGCUACUAAAAAUUCGAGGAAGGAAACCAACUUCUCUGUAGAAGUUUAUAGUUACCAAUUGUUAACUUCAACCCAUCAAUAGAGUUUUAUAGUUGGUGAGUUCUGCCCUCCAUCUGUGAAAGCCUUGAGCUUACACCUUCCAUGCAUGCAAGAGGUUAUCAAAGCACUUCUUCAUGGUUCGAUCAAUAUCUACAAUAGUAACUGUAGGAAUGUUACUCCUGUCUUCCUCAUCUAUCCAGCAUAACAAAGAUUGUAAGUAUAUAAUAAAGGAGAUGUUAUUGAUGUCAUCGCUUUGAAGUUUUGAACCAUCAAUAAUGAACAGUUAACCUGUUCAGCAGAUGGAAAAGGGGCUCGUCAUUCCACUCCUUGAGGCACUUGAGUUGUGGAUCGAUGUGCUUGCCCUAGUUGAUGGCAACGAGCACCUUGUUAAUCUCCUCGUCGGGAAAGCACAUCUUCUCGCCGAUGAGGUACACGACUCCGAGCUCCUCGUGCAUGAAGUGGUAGAGUGGGUAGGAGCGAUACUCGGUAAUUCUGUUGGGUAUCACUCUUGUGUCGUGUUCGAUAGCCGCCCGUGUAGCCUCCACCGCGCAGUGCAGGUGCGACGGACACAGCGAGAGGAGGCCGAGAUAUCCACCGUCCCUCGCGCAGAUGAUGGUGGCGUCGGUCGCUCUCCCACGCACGUGUGGCGUUCCUUGCGGCACUAGUACGGAGGACUCCACGUAGUGCGGGUGCGGCGGACGCAACGGGAGGAGAUCUGGAACCGGUAGCCAUGGGUAGAGGUGCGGGAGAGGACACAGAGUGAUGGGAAGGAGAAGAGAGAGGUGGGCAUCAGCAGAAGCGCGAUCGAGGGGCACAGAGAGCAGGGAGGUGGCAGCGGCUAGAAGCAGAGGUAGGGGUUAGGUUUUGACCCCACCCUUACUUCCGCCUGAUCCGGGCCCAAUAACGACCACAGAGUGAGGCAGAUGCGACGGAGGGGGAGGAGUCGGGACAAGCUAGGGAUUGGGACUCACCUUCGAUGAAGAUAGAGACCGAGGGCCAGCCAGCCUGCUCCUUCACCAUGGGCCAUGAUCCGGACGACAAGCACGACGACUAAGGCGCAACAGGGGCACCUAGGCACACCAUCACGAUGUGGAUGGCCUCCUCCGAGGGGGCGGGCGCAGCGUCAAGACGGACAGGGAUGGUGGGCGCGGACGGUGGUUGUUGCCCGCGGGAGGGGAGGAGGGUUACGGUGUCGCCUGACGGGCAUCACAGUGCGGCGUCGCUAGAAUCGAGCCUUCGGGAGACGGGGUAGGGGCAUGCACUGCUAAAAUUGCGAGAUUCGACAGCCAGGGCGGGGCACGAUGAAGGUGUGCACACCCUCGUUAGACUCAUAUGGAAUAGUAGAGAUAGGAGCCUCUCACCAAUGAUCAAUGGGCAUAAAACCGGUAUUUUUUUGUCAAACCCCACUAUGAACGGUCGUAGAAUACCGGUUCAAAACCCACUAAGAGCAAUAUUGCAACCGAGGGCUAACACCUAUAGAUUUUUCACGAAAAUAGUCCAGCAAAAAUUCAAGAAUAUGAUUUAUGGCAAGAAGACAUGUGUUCGAUAUGGAAUAGCAGCCUCUCGACGAUGAUCGAUGGGCAUAUGACUGAUAUUUUUGGUCAAAAUCGCUAUGAAUGACUGUUUCGGCAUGACGACUAACACCUAUGGAUUUUUCAAGAAAAAAUGUUCUCCACCAAAACUCUGAGAUUGUAAUUUAUUGUAAAAACAUAUAUGUGAUAAAUAAUAAGAGCCUCUCGCCAACGAUUGAUAGGCAUACAACUGGUAUUUUUGCCGAUAUUGGCCAUGGACGAUCGAUUUUUGGCCAUUGGCCAAUAGAUCUUUUAGAAAUAAUGGUCUCCACCAAAAUAACAAGAAUGUGAGUUAUAGCAAGGAAAUGCAUCAGGGGUAAGGAAUAUAAGCCUCUCGCAGAUGAUCCAUGCGCAUGCAGCCAACAUUUUUGACUAAAACCCAGAAUGAACAAAUGGUUUUGUAAAUAUCAAGGCUAACAUCUAUGAAUUUUUUCACUAAUUAAUGGUGUCCACCAAAAGUCCAAUAAUAUAAUUUAUGGCAAGAAAACAUGAGUGUGGUAAGAAAUAAGACCUUCUCGUUGAUGAUAAAUAGGUAUAUGAUGGACAACUUUUUUUAUCAAAAUCCACUACGAACGGUGGUUUUCGACACUACUGAAAACUAAUACCUAUGAAUUUUUUACGAAGAUAUAGUCUCCACUAAAAAUCUAAGAAUGUAAUUUAUUCAAAAAUGUGAUUUAUGACAAGCAAACAUAUGUGGGAUAAAGAAUAUUAGUGUCUUAUUGAUCAUCAAUAGAUAUACAAUCGGUAUUUUUUGUAAAAAUUGGCUAUGAACAAUAGUUUUCGGCAAUACUGAAGAGUAAUAUCUAUAGAUUUUUCAUGAAUAAAUUAUCUCCACUAAAACUCCAAAAAUGUGAUUUAUGACAAAAAAAUAUCUGGGGUAAGGAAUAAGAGUCUUUCGCCGAUAAUCAAUGAGAAUAUGACCGAUAUUUUCGCCAAAAACAACCAUGUAUUGUUGUUUUUCACAGUACUGAAGACUACCACGUAUGAAUUUUUCACAAAGAAAUAAUCCUCACUAAAAACAAAAUUGUGAUUUAUGGCAAUAAAACAUGUUAAAGAAUAGAGGCAUCUCACCGAAGAUGGAUAUACUACCAACAAUUUUUGAUGAAAAAUGUCAUGUAUGAUACUUUUUUGGUAAUGUUGAUGGCUAAAGAGCCUAUCGCCAAAGAUCAAUAGACAUACGACCAACAAUUUUGGCUAAAAAAAGCUAAUAAAUGGUAUUUUUUGGUAAUACUAAAGCCUAACAAAUACAUUUUAAAAAAAAUGGUCUUCAUCAAAACUAUAAAAGUAUAAGAAUGUGGUUUAUGACAAAGAUAAGUACGUUAAAAAGAAAUGAGCCUCUCACUAAAAAUCGAUAUACAUAUUGCCAACAUUGUUAGCUAAAACUCGCUAUGAACGACCGUUUUUGGACUACUGACUACAGAAUGCCAACUAUGGAUUCAGCGUAAACACUAUGGCCAAUGUAGUUUUUUUUUAAAAAAAAAACACAUAUAUACAAUUGGUUGCUUAAGCGCUUUUCUUGAAGCCUAAGCAAAGGAUAAUUAUUUUAAAAAAUAUAUCACUGGGUUCUGCUUGUUUGUACAGAUGAUUAUCAUGACAGUUGUCUACGCAAAAUAAUAGGGGUACUGUAUUUCAAAUCCAGAUAAUACUUCCAACUUGACAACGGCAGCAAUUUACCCUGCCAACAAGAGCCCCUCAAUAGAAAAUAUUUCUCAGAAUGUUGCUAUCACGGGAUCCCUUUUCCAUCAUCAGAACAAGACAUCUGUUGAGGCUAAACAAACGCCAAAUCGUCCAUGAAUCCUUACAAAAAACACCGCCAAAAAAACUCAUCCAUGUAUGCAGGUUUGUUGAACCUUUCAAGUAGGAUUUGGUCCAUCGUGCCAAAGUAAAAAUAUCAGAGUCCUCUUCUGUAGAGCCCUUUGUCCAUCCUCAUUUCCCAGAACUAAAAAUCCCAAACCUUUUAGGCGAGUCGGUAUUACCAGGAUUACCAUCCAACUUCCUCUGCUCAGAUGAUCCAGAUUUCUGAGUACUACUGAAGAUCCCAAAACUCUUGCUUGCUCGAUUAGGAUCACCGCCACCUGCUGGUUGCCUUUGGUUGUUAUUUAGUGGAAAAGAACUUCUCCUUUCGUUCCUUGGAUCUUGUUGUGAUAAUCCACCUUGGUUGAACCUCGGUAACGGCCGGUUAUGCUGCUGUUCAAGAGGUCUCUGGUUCUCAUAACGACCUCCAUUUUCAUUCCUUCUAUCACCUUGAGGGGGUAUUCCUUGGCUGCUGUCUCCUCUUAUUGGCUGCCUCCGAGCGGCGUAUCUGUUGGUUUCAACAGGACCCUGAUCUUGCACUCGCUUUUCCAUGCCAGGUUGCACAUCUCGUGGUCCCCUCUGGCCAGGAUUAUUUCUGUUUCCCCCAGCCCCUGGGUUGGAUUUUGGCCAAUUGAACUCCCUUUUAAAUUCUCUAUCGUGCCCCUCCUUUUGGGCAGGGGAGUCUCUGGAGAGACGGGUGGCUGUUUCCUUAACACGAUCUGAGAUGGUACGAUCAUCAGGUUUCCCGAGACCAUGUCCAACUGCCAUGUCUUCGGUAUUGCUGCCAUCAAUGGGUGACUCUGGGACAGCACUGCUGGUACCUUUUCCUGCAUCUUCCAUGGCCUGGCUAGCUUUCUUCCCACCUUUCUUUGUUGCAAACUUCACAUGCCUGACAAUAACAUACGCAUGCUUCGAGUCCAGGUGUGGUCCACUUUCGACAAUGCACACAUCUUGUAUCUGUUCAAUUGAUGGGAAUUACUGAAAGAAAUGUGCUUUCACAGGCAGCAGCCUUGAACAUGUUGCCGUGACCUUAACUAAUAUCAAAUGGAACAAAUGGCAUUUGGGAGCAACAGGGAGACAAUAAGGUGUAGAGUACUCACAAGUCCUAACAACCGAGAGAGUGGUGUUCCUAAAUCUUCUCCUUCAUUACCUGAGGGCAUGGCCAUGCACUGCCAAACAGAAAGGACAUUUUGAUUUUCAGAGUUUAAUUUCAAAAUCGAGGAUAAAUAUAUGAAUAUGAUUACAAACGCAAAUUGCAGAUAUACUGAAAAAGAACAGCUGAGGAUUCAGUUGGCCAAAUCGACAACACCCAGUUCAUCUGGGAAAUGGAUAUAGGCAUGGUCAUUCAGAGGCCAUCGUAAAAAUGAUGCCCACAUCAAGUAUAUAAGGCCACCAAUUGUACUCCACUGAGUAAGAAAGAGUCAGUGUGGCCCUAAUCCUACUCUGGUCAUAAUGUAUGGAUUCUGCAUUACAUCAGGAAUACCAAAUCCCACCCUCACCCACACUAAAUGGAUAAAAAAAAAAGCAAACAACCCAAGCUAUACAAAAGAACGGACAUAAAACCUGAGGCUGAACCAAGCAAGACAUAACAGAUUAUGCUAAUACUUUAUAACAUCCACAUAAUUCCUUUUUUAUUAUCACUAUGUACUAUUUAGUUACCUUGUUUUUGUGUACGUAAAUUUGUUUGGGAUUGUCCAGCAAACAUAACGAGACAAUUGUUAACAACCAAAACCCAAAGUUUUUCCUUUGGUGUUGUUGGAAAUGAGGUGUAUUAGAGAUUCAAAAGAACCCAAAGGUCUUCCUUCAAUAGAAGGUUUAUUUGUCUGAUACCAAAACAACAGAAAUUCAUUGGGUUGUCAAUGGGUAUUUGCAGAAUUAAAAAGAAGACAAACUCACCUUCACCCUGUAACCCCGCUCCAUUAAUCUGGUAAUCCCAUCUGCCUUCACCAUCAAAUCUUUUAGUUCCUGCACAGAAAAGCUAAUGCAUGUCAAUAAAGAUUCAUGUCACAGGGUCUUCAUAAUGAUCCCAAUGCACAUAAUGGGUGAAGUUUUCAAAUUUCAGAAAAGUGGGACAAAUUAAAUCAGGCGUUAGGUAUAUAUAUUAGAUCCAAAAAACAGAAUAUAAACUUUCCUGCAAAUUAUUUCCCUCUCUAUUUUAUGGAAUGAUAUGCAGCUCUCAUGUGUGUUCAAGAGAGAGAAAAAAGUGGGACAAAUUAAUUCCCUCUCUUUUAUGGAAUGAUUUGUGGCUCUCAUGAGUGUUCGAGAAAAGUGGGACAAAUUAAUUUCCUCUCUUUUUAUGGAAUGAUACGCAGCUCUCCUGCAUCUUCGACAAGAAAAAAAAAAGCAGUCCAAACAAGCCAAUACUCCAGUUAGGAGGUGCAAAUAAAGUCUGCAUGUGACUAAAACCUGAUAAACUAUUAUUGCCAACGAGAUAGGUUGCAACUUGCAACCACCUAAAUAAUAGAAAAAAUACUCACAGUCUUCCCCUUAAAUCGCACUUCUUUGUUCUCCCCACCACGUAAGACAAUAGCAGACUGCAAAAAUCAGGCAGAGAUCCAAAGUUUAAAAACAAGCAGAACAGGUCUACAAUAUAUGUUGUGAGCCAUGCAAAAGUACAUACACCUAUGGUAGGAGAUAAUAUAGUUAACACUCUUUUGCAUAGAUCCGAGCUUAAAUGCUUACUACUACUUAGAAGGCUCAAAUGCUGCAGAAGUUAGAGAUGGCAGACCUAAAAGAGUGCCAAAAAAUUCUGGUUGUUUUCAGUCAACCAGAAAGGUACCUCACUAGUGAUUACACACCUUAUAGAACUUGUCAAUAUCUAAUUGACAUAGACAAGUAUGUGAACAGUGAUCCAUCUAAACGGAUGCCAAGGCUUUCAUGAAAAUUCUGAACCUACCUGUCAUUUGUAAAGACUAUUGUUACACCGGUGCAACCUACAUGAGUCAAGCUCCCUGUAGGAGUCAAACCGAUGCAAUGAACUGUUUUGUUUAUCAUAAAACUAGCUAGAAGAAAGAUAUGACAAUAUAACUGUAUUUGUUGCAUAACUUGGAUGCCUAUACAAUUGAAAGUGCACUUAUACUGAUGCGAUUCUAAUUCCUAUGGUUGAAAAAAGAAAGACAAAGUUCACUGUACAAGUUUAAAUACCUUGGUUUUCAAGCGUUCUUUCUCCUUGGUUUCUUUCUUAUACUUCUCUCUGUGAAAAUCCAUGAUUUUGCAUACAGGUGGGUCUGAUUUCCUAUCGACCUGGACAAGAUAACAAUGAGCAUGAAGUUAAUUUAUCUAUUACUACUUAUUAAGAAGCUAACAAGUGCGUCCACACCUUGCCCCCGCCCCCGCCGUACCCCCGCCUCUGUUCUCUCCCACACCCGCACAUGGAACCUGCCCCCGCCACAGAUCUUGUCCACAACCGCGCAGGCAUGCGCAUGGACCCAGCCCCCGCCGCCGUGCCCGCGGACCGCGGAUGCACCCAGUCCCCGUCGUGCCCCUGCCCCCGCCCACGGAUCUCGCCCACAACCGCGCACGCACGCGCAUGAACCCAGCCCCCGCCGUCGUGCCUGCGGAUAUCGCCUCCCUCAACCGCGCAUGGAUCCAGCCACCGAUGCACGCCCGCGGUGCCCACGGCUACCCUAAACCGCCGCCGCCGCUGCCGAUUGCUCGAGCUCGCUUCUUUACGGCGGUUCUGCAUCUGCGUGCUGAUAUCUUCUUGUCCUGUUCUCUCGUUCUGUGCUUCUGUGUUUUUUUCCUAUUUUUCUCUCAACUGUACGAGGGAUUGGUUCGUAGCUCGGGUUGAUGAUGAUUUGGAUCUGAAAGGAUCUUAGCGGAUUUCGGUGAGGCGGAUUCGUCCGCCGCUGAUCGCCUUAUGUUGUUACACACACUGAAGCCCUUUCGACGCGUCUCUCAGAUUGGUUCUUUUCCCCUUUCGUCUCUUUGUCUAAUUUCUCACUGGAUGUUGCUGCAAUGCGAUGAUGAUUCAUAACAUGGUUUUGGCAGUGGUUACCCCUUGUGGUCACCGUGAGCCGUCAAACCUGAUAACGACUUCUCUUUCCACUGAGCAUUGCGAAUAAAAUGCAGCGUAUUAUCAUCGGGCAAUUGAAUUCAUCAUCAAAUACAUACUGGUUCUAGCAAAAAAAAACAGAUAAUUUCACGUGAGUCUGAAGUUUCUGAAAACUCAAUGCAGCUUUCAUGGAAGUGACUUUAUGGCACCUGCCAAUUACCAGUCGCCCCAUUUUUUUAGGAACGAACGCACCUUUCCUCAACACGGCCCGAAUCGCACAGCCAAGGCCAAACAAAUUAUUGGAUAAAACCCGCAUGCAGUAUCGUCUGACAGCAGGGAGGUAAUUUUAAUUUCAGAUUUCAGAUUAGAAGUUACAACUUGACAGCAUAUUUCUACACGUUGAGCUCCAUCUCCAACUCCAGCUCUCUCCACUUUUUGUGCUGCAGCAGCUUCAGCGCCACCCGUUGCUUCACCUUGCCGCCUGAAACCACAACAGCGCCGUCCCUGACCAGAGCGUUAUCCACCGGCCGAUCUGAAUGUAGCCUGCCUAGCAGUUCCGAGUUUCUGCGGCAGGGUUGAUCAUUGUUUGAUCAAGUCGUCCUUGGCCAUUAUCAGAUUCGGGCAGCAUUGCGAGUUCCAUGUUGGCUACCUUCAUGUUUGUGUUGAUGCCUUUGUAGCAAGUCGCUACCUGGUCGCAUUUCCAUGAAAUAACGAUGAGGGAAUUGUUUGUUCUAGGUUUGGUAAUGUAUUUUCCAGGUUCUGAAAAAUGAUUCAUGAGUUCAUAGCCUUAAUAACAUUUACUACUCAAUGUUAUACUAAAAGAAUGUAUUGACAUUGUGCUCAACCACAAUAUGCAAAGUAGAUCCUUCGUGCCCCUUUGUUGGUUAGUGAGCAAUAUCGCCUCCAGACAUAAUCAGGGAUCAUGUUAAAUGCAUCAACAUUAUGUCUUACCUCAAUAAUUCCAAAAGGGAUAACUCUUACUCCAUACCGUUAUUUCUCAACAAAGGGGGCAUAUGUUCAAAUAUUAGGCUCAAGCAUGGCUCAUUUUUUAAUAUCAAACGAUUUUGGGCGCAAUGAUUUUGGCCCUUUUGAUAGGCUACCAAGCACUGGUAAUUUUUACUACUAAAUUAUGCAAUACUUGUGAACUAAAUUAUUGAAAUGUCAUUGAGACAUCAAAUACCGCCGCGACAUUCUCUUGUAUUCUGGAAGUUCACAGGCUUAGAUACAUAGGAAUCCAUGCCUGCACCAAGACAUUUAUCGGCACUCUCUUGCUAGCAGUUACCAGCAGAUCUUUGCACAUUCAAAUUUGAAGGCUUGAUGAAGGUUAAAAUAAACACCAGAAGGUCGAACAUGUUCCUUGCCUCCCCACGUUUAGGGUCGGAGGGAGCUUUGGAUUAGUCUGAGCAUUUCUACAGAUUGCUUGAUGACGUUUGAUUCACUGGAUCAUGAGUUUUUGUUCCUACUAAUAUUGUUUAAACUGUAUAUUGUGGUGACUCUCCUCUAGAAGUAGUUGUUGAAGACUGAUGACAUCUUGUAAUAUUUUCAUUUCUGCUAAUAUGUUGCGGGGUUGUGAUUUUUUAGAUUGGCUAUGAUUAAUAAGACAUGGAGCCACUUUACCCAAGCAGGUCACCAAGAACGGUCCGACCCUGCCGAGUGGAAGAAGCUGCAGGGAGUGGACAUGGAGGUGCAUCGGGUAGACAUGUAUGCAAGGAAAAUUGAUGGUUGGAAGGGUGUUUUGAUGGAAACUGAAGUUGCCACUGCC